RNAcentral lists this transfer RNA (81 nucleotides) under Caudoviricetes sp. Its description in RNAcentral is "tRNA-Ser". It matches the Rfam family "tRNA". From Rfam's summary of the family: Transfer RNA (tRNA) molecules are approximately 80 nucleotides in length. Their secondary structure includes four short double-helical elements and three loops (D, anti-codon, and T loops). Further hydrogen bonds mediate the characteristic L-shaped molecular structure. tRNAs have two regions of fundamental functional importance: the anti-codon, which is responsible for specific mRNA codon recognition, and the 3' end, to which the tRNAs corresponding amino acid is attached (by aminoacyl-tRNA synthetases). tRNAs cope with the degeneracy of the genetic code in two manners: having more than one tRNA (with a specific anti-codon) for a particular amino acid; and 'wobble' base-pairing, i.e. permitting non-standard base-pairing at the 3rd anti-codon position. The record is from RNAcentral. Lineage: Duplodnaviria; Heunggongvirae; Uroviricota; Caudoviricetes.
GGAAGAUUAGCCUAAUAGGUAAGGCAGUAGCUUGCUAAGCUAUGACCGCAAGGUUUAUGAGUUCGAAUCUCAUAUCUUCCG